CGAAUAAAAAAAUGGAAGCCUACAGCACCCCGGAUUCCCAUGUUGUCUCCAACCAUAGUACUAACGAGGCCCUCAGACGCUUAACUGCAGUGAUCGGACGGGAACUGGUGUUUUCGCCUAGGUAUGGCCGUAGACAGUUGUUUGAAUUAAUUGUAAAUUUUAUAGCUAAAUUAAAAAGAAAUUGCAGUGACACCAGUUGUAAUAUGACACAUUUCUGUUUGA
Molecule: non-coding RNA, 222 nt
Organism: Schizosaccharomyces pombe (fission yeast)
Lineage: Eukaryota; Fungi; Ascomycota; Schizosaccharomycetes; Schizosaccharomycetales; Schizosaccharomycetaceae
Source: the annotation of a GenBank genome assembly